This 258-nucleotide long non-coding RNA is filed under the name Mus musculus (house mouse). Its description in RNAcentral is "RIKEN cDNA 4930434J06 gene". Lineage: Eukaryota; Metazoa; Chordata; Mammalia; Rodentia; Muridae. The record is from RNAcentral.
UCUAUCUGAAUGGCAACAGCCCCAUUCACAAGGAUUUUCCUGAAACAAGCUACAGAGAAGGCAGAAGUCUGAAAUCAAAGCAUCAGGAGGACCAGGCUCCCUUCCAAAAGGAGAACAUUUCCUACCUCUUUCAGACCCUUGUUGCUCCAAGCACCUCUUGGCCCAAGGCUACAUGGAUCCAGUAUUUACCUCCGUCAUCACAAGGCAGACUCCCCGGUGUCUUUUAUAAGGAUAUUCACCAAUAAAACUAACCAGGGC